GACGAACGUUGGCGGCGUGCUUAAUACAUGCAAGUCAACUGAAGCAGUGGUAGCAAUCUCGCUGUGGAGGUGGCGCACGGGUGAGUAACACGUAGGUAAUCUGCCUUCAGGUCUGGCAUAACUCCGGGAAACCGGGGCUAAUAGCAGAUGAUGCAGCGGCUCGACAUCGAGACAGUUGUUAAAGCUAUGGCGCCUGAAGAUGAGCCUGCGUCUGAUUAGCUAGUUGGCGGGGUAACGGCCCACCAAGGCAACGAUCAGUAGCUGGUCUGAGAGGAUGAUCAGCCACACUGGAAGUGAGACACGGUCCAGACUCCUACGGGAGGCAGCAGUAAGGAAUAUUGCUCAAUGGGAGAAAUCCUGAAGCAGCAACGCCGCGUGAGGGACGAAGGGCUUUUGCUUGCAAACCUCUGUAGUGAGAGAAAAAAAUCCCAAUCUUUGGGACAUGAUGGUAUCUCAAAAGUAAGCCCCGGCUAACUACGUG
This 481-nucleotide ribosomal RNA is filed under the name uncultured bacterium. RNAcentral's name for it is "partial 16S ribosomal RNA". It matches the Rfam family "Bacterial small subunit ribosomal RNA", at positions 28 to 507 of the family's 1533-position model. The record is from RNAcentral.